GUGGGGAAUAUUGGACAAUGGGCGCAAGCCUGAUCCAGCCAUGCCGCGUGAGUGAUGAAGGCCUUAGGGUUGUAAAGCUCUUUCAGUGGGGACGAUAAUGACGGUACCCACAGAAGAAGCCCCGGCUAACUUCGUGCCAGCAGCCGCGGUAAUACGAAGGGGGCUAGCGUUGUUCGGAUUUACUGGGCGUAAAGCGCACGUAGGCGGAUCGUUAAGUCGGGGGUGAAAUCCUGGAGCUCAACUCCAGAACUGCCUUCGAUACUGGCGAUCUUGAGUCCGGAAGAGGUGAGUGGAACUCCUAGUGUAGAGGUGGAAUUCGUAGAUAUUCGGAGGAACACCAGUGGCGAAGGCGGCUCACUGGCUCGAUACUGACGCUGAGGUGCGAAAGCGUGGGGAGCAAACAGGAUUAGAAACCCCUGUAGUCC
Molecule: ribosomal RNA, 425 nt
Filed under: uncultured bacterium
Lineage: Bacteria
Description: partial 16S ribosomal RNA
Rfam family: Bacterial small subunit ribosomal RNA
Source: RNAcentral